Molecule: small RNA, 181 nt
Filed under: Staphylococcus aureus
Lineage: Bacteria; Bacillati; Bacillota; Bacilli; Caryophanales; Staphylococcaceae
Description: Listeria sRNA rli28
Rfam family: Listeria sRNA rli28
Source: RNAcentral
AUGCUCAUUUUAUAAUAUUUAUUGAGCAAGUUGGAUAGAUGGUGGUUAAUCUCUUAAUAAAGGGGUGAUGCCUAUGGUUAUAGUUGUUACUCCUAGAAAGGAGUAGCAUGUCUGUUUUUGAAAUGCUGAUAAUUGUAUUAACAAUUAUUGGUUUAGUAUAGAUCAGUAAUCAAGACCAAAA